AAAUCGUACCCCAAACCGACACAGGUGGUCAGGUAGAGAAUACCAAGGCGCUUGAGAGAACUCGGGUGAAGGAACUAGGCAAAAUGGUGCCGUAACUUCGGGAGAAGGCACGCUGGUGUGUAGGUGAAGUCCCUGCGGAUGGAGCUGAGACCAGUCGAAGAUACCAGCUGGCUGCAACUGUUUAUUAAAAACACAGCACUGUGCAAACACGAAAGUGGACGUAUACGGUGUGACGCCUGCCCGGUGCCGGAAGGUUAAUUGAUGGGGUUAUCC
RNAcentral lists this ribosomal RNA (273 nucleotides) under Klebsiella pneumoniae. RNAcentral describes it as "partial 23S ribosomal RNA". It matches the Rfam family "Bacterial large subunit ribosomal RNA", at positions 1639 to 1895 of the family's 2925-position model. Lineage: Bacteria; Pseudomonadati; Pseudomonadota; Gammaproteobacteria; Enterobacterales; Enterobacteriaceae. The record is from RNAcentral.